UACGUAGGGUGCAAGCGUUAAUCGGAAUUACUGGGCGUAAAGCGUGCGCAGGCGGUUUUGUAAGUCUGUCGUGAAAGCCCCGGGCUCAACCUGGGAACUGCAUUUGAAACUGGCGGGCUUGAGUGUGGCAGAGGGGGGUGGAAUUCCGCGUGUAGCAGUGAAAUGCGUAGAGAUGCGGAGGAACACCGAUGGCGAAGGCAGCCCCCUGGGCCAACACUGACGCUCAGGCACGAAAGCGUGGGGAGCAAACAGG
RNAcentral lists this ribosomal RNA (253 nucleotides) under uncultured bacterium. RNAcentral describes it as "partial 16S ribosomal RNA". It matches the Rfam family "Bacterial small subunit ribosomal RNA", at positions 524 to 776 of the family's 1533-position model. The record is from RNAcentral.